CAGGAAACGAGGGUGAGUGCAGGCCUGAGAGGAAACAGUCAACCCAGAGGGGAGCCAGAAUAAUUCCUGGCUUAUCACAAGAGUUCGCUAGUCAUCGGCUCCCUUCCUUCCGUCUUCCUUUCAGAGUAAUACUGGCCUGGAUGUGUUAGGAAGAGGUGCAAUGAAGAAACUAGAACAGAUAAAGGAGGCGAGAGUAACUCAGGACAAGAGCGGUGGCUUCACUGAGGACGUGCUAUUGGAACUAACCCCACAGGGAGAAGAAGGAGCCACGCCCUGUUCCAGAGGAAAAGCGUCCCAGGCCACGGGAGCAGCAAGAGCAGAGACCUGAGAUGGGAACAAGCCUGGCAUGUGGUGCUGACAGAAAAUAGGCUGGCGGGUGUGGUUGGAACACAGUGAAAGGGGGUGUGGUGUA
Hipposideros armiger (great roundleaf bat) is the source of this 412-nucleotide long non-coding RNA. RefSeq lists it as uncharacterized. Lineage: Eukaryota; Metazoa; Chordata; Mammalia; Chiroptera; Hipposideridae. The transcript is spliced from 3 exons. The record is from RefSeq and is a predicted model, not a curated record.